Molecule: ribosomal RNA, 306 nt
Filed under: uncultured bacterium
Lineage: Bacteria
Description: partial 16S ribosomal RNA
Rfam family: Bacterial small subunit ribosomal RNA
Source: RNAcentral
GACAGCAGUCGCCGCGGUAAUACAGAGGGUGCGAGCGUUAAUCGGAUUUACUGGGCGUAAAGCGUGCGUAGGCGGCUUCUUAAGUCGGAUGUGAAAUCCCUGAGCUUAACUUAGGAAUUGCAUUCGAUACUGGGAAGCUAGAGUAUGGGAGAGGAUGGUAGAAUUCCAGGUGUAGCGGUGAAAUGCGUAGAGAUCUGGAGGAAUACCGAUGGCGAAGGCAGCCAUCUGGCCUAAUACUGACGCUGAGGUACGAAAGCAUGGGGAGCAAACAGGAUUAGAUACCCGCGUAGUCCCUGUCUCUUAUAC